CUCCACACAAUUACACACACUUCGCCCUGAGCAAGAAAAGGGCCUGUGUACCCACUCUGUCUAUGCAAGGUCUUGCUCUAGGAGGCCACAGGGAAUGGGGAACCCCAGGGGGGCUCAUUGCCUGAAGGGCAGCCUGGUCCAUCCUUAGACAAUGCUGUGCACUGUGCCUCGGAGCUCAAGCUCACGUCCCUCAAACUCCUCUGGGAAUCUCUCUGACCCUGGAGCCCAGCACUGAGGUCACUCUCCAGAAAAUCCUAAGCCACAGAUAAGCAGCUGCCAAUAAGUUUUGUAAAAAGCCAUCUCAGGGUGUUUGCCAAUGAAACCAGCGUAGCAGCAUAGUUUUAUUCAGAGUUGUCAGUCUGAGGAAGGGUUUCCCAGGUGGCUUGGUGGUAAAGACCCUGCCUGCCAAUGCAGAAGAUGCAGGAUCAAUCCCUGGGUCGGGAAGAUCCCCUGGAGACGGAAAUGGCAAUGCACCCCAGUAUUCUUGCCUAGUAAAUUCCAUGGACAGAGGAGCCUGGCAGGCUACAGUCUGUGGGGUUGCAAAGAGUUGGACAUGACAGAACACGAACGCGUGUCAGUCUGAGGCAGCACACAGGCACUCUGAUGAGUGGGAAUGUGGCAGAAUCAUCUUAAUAAUAAGGGCUCACCCAGACCAGGUGUCAGGCACUAUUCAAAUGCUUUCACGUGGAGCAACUCAUCUAGUACUUCCAACCCUUCAGUGAGGCAGGUGCUAGGAAAUGGAGACUUAGAGAGGUCAAGUGACUUGCCCCAGGUCCCACAGC
Long non-coding RNA from Bos taurus (domestic cattle), 782 nucleotides. NCBI's taxonomy places the organism in Eukaryota, Metazoa, Chordata, Mammalia, Artiodactyla, Bovidae. The record is from Ensembl.